RNAcentral lists this ribosomal RNA (492 nucleotides) under uncultured bacterium. Its description in RNAcentral is "partial 16S ribosomal RNA". It matches the Rfam family "Bacterial small subunit ribosomal RNA", at positions 29 to 507 of the family's 1533-position model. The record is from RNAcentral.
AGUGAACGCUGGCGGUAGGCCUAACACAUGCAAGUCGAACGGCAGCACAGUAAGAGCUUGCUCUUACGGGUGGCGAGUGGCGGACGGGUGAGGAAUACAUCGGAAUCUACUUUUUCGUGGGGGAUAACGUAGGUAAACUUACGCUAAUACCGCAUACGACCUACGGGUGAAAGCAUGGGAUCUUCGGACCUUGCGCGAUUGAAUGAGCCGAUGUCGGAUUAGCUAGUUGGCGGGGUAAAGGCCCACCAAGGCGACGAUCCGUAGCUGGUCUGAGAGGAUGGUCAGCCACACUGGAACUGAGACACGGUCCAGACUCCUACGGGAGGCAGCAGUGGGGAAUAUUGGACAAUGGGCGCAAGCCUGAUCCAGCCAUACCGCGUGGGUGAAGAAGGCCUUCGGGUUGUAAAGCCCUUUUGUUGGGAAAGAAAAGCAGCAGGUUAAUACCCCGCUGUUCUGACGGUACCCAAAGAAUAAGCACCGGCUAACUUCGUG